GACGAACGCUGGCGGCGUGCUUAACACAUGCAAGUCGAACGGUAAGGCCCUUCGGGGUACACGAGUGGCGAACGGGUGAGUAACACGUGGGUGAUCUGCCCUGCACUUCGGGAUAAGCCUGGGAAACUGGGUCUAAUACCGGAUAGGACCACUGCCUGCAUGGGUGGUGGUGGAAAGCUUUUGCGGUGUGGGAUGGGCCCGCGGCCUAUCAGCUUGUUGGUGGGGUGAUGGCCUACCAAGGCGACGACGGGUAGCCGGCCUGAGAGGGUGAACGGCCAGACUGGGACUGGGAUACGGCCCAGACUCCUACGGGAGGCAGCAGUGGGGAAUAUUGCACAAUGGGCGCAAGCCUGAUGCAGCGACGCCGCGUGAGGGAUGACGGCCUUCGGGUUGUAAACCUCUUUCAGCACCGACGAAGCGCAAGUGACGGUAGGUGCAGAAGAAGGACCGGCCAACUACGUGCCAGCCGCCGCGGUAA
RNAcentral lists this ribosomal RNA (478 nucleotides) under uncultured bacterium. RNAcentral describes it as "partial 16S ribosomal RNA". It matches the Rfam family "Bacterial small subunit ribosomal RNA", at positions 28 to 523 of the family's 1533-position model. The record is from RNAcentral.